RNAcentral lists this long non-coding RNA (822 nucleotides) under Panax ginseng (ginseng). RNAcentral's name for it is "long non-coding RNA (PGIN_LNC018953)". The record is from RNAcentral. Lineage: Eukaryota; Viridiplantae; Streptophyta; Magnoliopsida; Apiales; Araliaceae.
GAUAACUUUCUUAGUAUUGCAAAAACUUUGGAAACAAAGACCUGAGGCUGAGACCAGGAAGUUGUUUAAUGAGCCGACCUUAUCAAUUUUGAGAAAAUGUGCAAAAGUAAUAUUUUAUCAAUUUAAAUUUUCAAUCGAAAUUAACAUUGAACCCUACCUUUCUGAAAUUUCCCUUGCAUAUAAUUUCGUGAAUCGUCAUUGUCAGGUUGUGGUGGCAUUAACAAGCAACGGCACACGGUGAAACGAAGAAGAAACGCAAGCAACUUGAAGAUCUUUAUAUCCUUUUUCCUGGUAACAUUGAACCCUACCUUUCUGCAAUUUCCCUUGCAUAUAAUUUCUGAUAUACACACAUACUUGGGUUUUUUUUUUCUCUGCUCAGUUGAAAAUAGGCAGGGACUUACCAAAAAAAAUUCCUGUAUUAUAACUCCAAAUUUCUUGUCACCCCUUUAUAUUUCCACGGUAACAAAACAAAUUAGUGGGUUUUGAUUCAUGCGUUUACCGUGCUAUUGCCGGUUGUAGGAGGCUUUAAGAUAUUUCAUUUGGUUUGUAAUUGUAUGAAUGUUAACAUUCCUGAAAAUUCCUCGGUGAACAAGUCAAAAGACGGGAUGCUAUUAGUUUCUGUUUAUAUGCAUUUUAGUUCCCUUUUCUUUUUAUUGAUUCUCAUUGAACAUAGUCUGCAGUUAUUUAUGUGUAGUCGGUGAUUGAUUGCUAAAGACUGGGUUUUAUUUUCUACAGAGAUUGAAGCUUAAUCAUAUAGAAAUGCUGCACAGAACUCGGCCUAUGGCUGCGGUCUUGUUGUUUAUUGUUUCUUCCAUCUGCACU